CCCUUAGAUGUUCUGGGCCGCACACGCGCUACACUGAUGCAUUCAACGAGUCUAAAACCUGCUCUGAUAGGGGUGGGUAAUCUUUUGAAUGUGCAUCGUGAUUGGGAUAGAUGAUUGCAAUUUUUCAUCUUCAACGAGGAAUGCCUAGUAAACGCAAGUCAUCAGCUUGCAUUGAUUACGUCCCUGCCCUUUGUACACACCGCCCGUCGCUCCUACCGAUUGAAUGAUCCGAUGAAUAUCAUGGAUUGAGGAUUAUAGCAGGUUCGCCUGUCUUGAUCUUCGAGAAGUGAAGUAAAUCUUAUCAUUUAGAGGAAGGAGAAGUCGUAACA
RNAcentral lists this ribosomal RNA (329 nucleotides) under uncultured eukaryote. Its description in RNAcentral is "partial 18S ribosomal RNA". It matches the Rfam family "Eukaryotic small subunit ribosomal RNA", at positions 1470 to 1796 of the family's 1831-position model. The record is from RNAcentral.